Oncorhynchus tshawytscha (Chinook salmon) is the source of this 450-nucleotide long non-coding RNA. The record is from Ensembl. NCBI's taxonomy places the organism in Eukaryota, Metazoa, Chordata, Actinopteri, Salmoniformes, Salmonidae.
UUUGACAUAAAUCUAUUUAUUAUUUUUUAUUUAUUCUCAAUCAAAAUAGUUCACAGGGUAUUUAGAGAUCAACACAUAAGUAGUUUUAAAAUGUGAUCAAAUAAUAACAUACAGACACUCCAUAAAACAUUGAGAAGCAGCGAGUGACGAGUCCAGUUCCAUUUAACCAGGGAGAUGUGAGGUCAAACGAGACCUGGAGGGCUGACAGACACUGUCCUGUUCCCCCCAGUUCCAUUUAACCAGGAGAUGUGAGGUCAAACUAGACCUGGAGGGCUGACAGACACUGUCCUGUUCCCCUGUGGCCCCCUAUUCCCCUGUGAGGUCAAACUAGACCUGGAGGGCUGACAGACACUGUCCUGUUCCCCUGUGGCCCCCUAUUCCCCGUGGGCCUCCUAUUCCCCUGUGAGGUCAAACUAGACCUGGAGGGCUGACAGACACUGUCCUGUUCCC